CUCGAUCCCAGGACCCUGGGACCACGAGCCAAAGGCAGAUGCUCAACCACUGAGCCUCCCAGAUAUUUGAACUCUUUCCUGUUGGUACUAUUACGACUAAUGCCACUAUAAACAUUAGGUAUAUGCCACGAGGCUGAAACACAACAAUGGAACUGAUAAGACACGGGUAGAGAUCUCAUCGCUCAAGUCUAUUUCUCAUUAGGGGAAAGAAAAGGCCACUCUGCCAAAAGGGUUUAGACUCUUUCUCAAUUGUCAUCCCUAAAACUCUGUAUUAGCUGGUUCGUGGCUAAUGACAUGCUGCAAGGAGAGAUCGGCAGGCCCCAUCUUCCUGGGACUUCUGGCCAAGCAAAGAAGCAGAGACAACCACAGAAAUGGAAAUAAAUGUGUGUGAGCAAAACUACCUAAAACCAAAAGGCCAGGGAGGCGCUGACAUAUAUCCAUAGAGACUAACUGAAGAUGUAACUGGCAGUGGGGACAGGGGAAGGUUAAGAAUUGGCUGGGGAAAGGGACAGUUCAGAAAAUGCGGGGCGGCUGGGAGGGGGUUUUUACAGGGUAAUUUCAUUUGCCUGGUUAAUGUGCAUGGACUGCUUUUGAAGAUCUACUCAAGCUGAUCAUCAACUGUACAAAAACCCUGGAGUUAAGAAGGUAGCUCGAUAUGGUCACAAGAGCCACACUGCAACAGCAGUGGUAAAAACCUCAACACUCUACAGCCCAGUGUAUUAAAGUCACAGGCUCCACUUUAUGGGUCUAAUGCAUUCUUAGAGUCACCCAGAUUUAACGGAAAGGAAAAAAUAAGAAACAGGGGGAUGAGGUUUGCUCCACGACAUCUUGGAAAUUUGAGAUCCCUUACCAUCUUACCUGAUAGGCAAGUUAUCAUUAGGAUUUCUUAACGUGAAUAACAAAAGGAAGGUGGGUUUAAUUUGUUUCAUCCCAAAUCUCCAAGACCCGCGGUGGCCUGUCCAAUUGGAGUGAUCUAGGAGGAUGGAGCAAAGCCUUCUCCAAAAGCCUUCAGGGGAAAUGAGUGGCCCAGAUUAGCCAAUGAAAAUUCACUAAGAACAAGAAGCAGAAAUUAAGGUGAGCCAGCUGAAUGAGGUAAUUUUACAGACAUUGGUGUGGUUAAAACUAAAUGGUUGGAAGGGGAAAGUGGAAGGGAAGGAGUUUAUUGCUAUUUACAGAAAUUUUUAAGAAAAU
Long non-coding RNA from Canis lupus familiaris (dog), 1191 nucleotides. RefSeq lists it as uncharacterized. Lineage: Eukaryota; Metazoa; Chordata; Mammalia; Carnivora; Canidae. The record is from RefSeq and is a predicted model, not a curated record. The transcript has 3 exons.